Molecule: ribosomal RNA, 359 nt
Filed under: Acinetobacter baumannii
Lineage: Bacteria; Pseudomonadati; Pseudomonadota; Gammaproteobacteria; Moraxellales; Moraxellaceae
Description: bacterial SSU rRNA
Rfam family: Bacterial small subunit ribosomal RNA
Source: RNAcentral
GGGGACGACGUCAAGUCAUCAUGGCCCUUACGGCCAGGGCUACACACGUGCUACAAUGGUCGGUACAAAGGGUUGCUACACAGCGAUGUGAUGCUAAUCUCAAAAAGCCGAUCGUAGUCCGGAUUGGAGUCUGCAACUCGACUCCAUGAAGUCGGAAUCGCUAGUAAUCGCGGAUCAGAAUGCCGCGGUGAAUACGUUCCCGGGCCUUGUACACACCGCCCGUCACACCAUGGGAGUUUGUUGCACCAGAAGUAGCUAGCCUAACUGCAAAGAGGGCGGUUACCACGGUGUGGCCGAUGACUGGGGUGAAGUCGUAACAAGGUAGCCGUAGGGGAACCUGCGGCUGGAUCACCUCCUUA